AAGACCAUUCUCAGCAACCAGACUGUCAACAUUCCAGAAAAUGGUGACAUUACUCUGAAGGGACACACAGUUACUGUGAAAGGCCCCAGAGGAACCCUGCAGAGGGAUUUCAAUCACAUCAGUGUAGAUUCAGUCUUCUUGGAAAGAAAGAAAAGAGGCUCCAGGUUGAUAAAUGGUGGGGAAACUGAAAGGAACUGGCUGCCGUUCAGACUAUUUGUAGUCAUGUACAGAACAUGAUCAAGGGUGUUACACUGGGCUUCCAUUACAGGAUGAGGUCUGUGUAUGCUCACUUCCCCAUCAAUGUCGUUAUCCAGGAGAAUGGGUCUCUUGUUGAAAUCUGAAAUUUCUUGGGUGAAAAAUACAUCCUCAGGGUUCGGAUGAGAACAGGUGUUGCUUGUUCAGUAUCUCAAGCCCAGAAAGAUGAAUUAAUCCUUGAAGGUAAUGACAUUGAGCUUGUUUCCAAUUUAGAGGCUUUGAUUCAGCAAGCCACGACAGUUAAAAACAAGGAUAUCAGGAAAUUUUUGGAUGGUAUCUAUGUCUCUGAAAAAGGAACUGUUCAGCCGGCUGAUGAAUAA
RNAcentral lists this long non-coding RNA (575 nucleotides) under Homo sapiens (human). RNAcentral's name for it is "non-protein coding lnc-PSMA6-3:1". The record is from RNAcentral. Lineage: Eukaryota; Metazoa; Chordata; Mammalia; Primates; Hominidae.